Molecule: ribosomal RNA, 535 nt
Filed under: uncultured bacterium
Lineage: Bacteria
Description: partial 16S ribosomal RNA
Rfam family: Bacterial small subunit ribosomal RNA
Source: RNAcentral
UAGGGAAUCUUCCACAAUGGACGCAAGUCUGAUGGAGCAACGCCGCGUGAGUGAAGAAGGUUUUCGGACCGUAAAGCUCUGUUGUUGGUGAAGAAGGAUAGAGGUAGUAACUGGCCUUUAUUUGACGGUAAUCAACCAGAAAGUCACGGCUAACUACGUGCCAGCAGCCGCGGUAAUACGUAGGUGGCAAGCGUUGUCCGGAUUUAUUGGGCGUAAAGCGAGCGCAGGCGGAAGAAUAAGUCUGAUGUGAAAGCCCUCGGCUUAACCGAGGAAUUGCAUCGGAAACUGUUUUCUUGAGUGCAGAAGAGGAGAGUAGAACUCCAUGUGUAGCGGUGGAAUGCGUAGAUAUAUGGAAGAAUACCAGUGGCGAAGGCGGCUCUCUGGUCUGCAACUGACGCUGAGGCUCGAAAGCAUGGGUAGCGAACAGGAUUAGAUACCCUGGUAGUCCAUGCCGUAAACGAUGAGUGCUAAGUGUUGGGAGGCUUCCGCCUCUCAGUGCUGCAGCUAACGCAUUAAGCACUCCGCCUGGGGGAGU